AUUGAACGCUGGCGGCAGGCCUAACACAUGCAAGUCGAGCGACCGGCGGACGGGUGAGUAAUGUCUGGGAAACUGCCUGAUGGAGGGGGAUAACUACUGGAAACGGUAGCUAAUACCGCAUACCAUCAGAUGUGCCCAGAUGGGAUUAGCUAUUAGGGGGGGUAAUGGCUCACCUAGGCGCCGAUCCCUAGCUGGUCUGAGGGGAGGACCAGCCACACUGGAACUGGGAAACGGUCCAGACUCCUACGGGGGGAGGCAGUGGGGAAUUGUGGACAAGGGGCGCAAGCCUGAUGCGGCCAGGCCGCGUGUGUGAAGAGGGCCUUCGGGUGGAAAAGCACUUUCAUCGAGGAGGCGUUACUCGCAGAGGAAGCACCGGCUAACUCCGUGCCAGCAGCCGCGGUAAUUC
RNAcentral lists this ribosomal RNA (406 nucleotides) under uncultured bacterium. RNAcentral describes it as "partial 16S ribosomal RNA". It matches the Rfam family "Bacterial small subunit ribosomal RNA", at positions 29 to 526 of the family's 1533-position model. The record is from RNAcentral.